AUUGAACGCUGGCGGCAGGCCUAACACAUGCAAGUCGAGCGAGCGGCGGACGGGUGAGUAAUGUAUGGGGACUGCCCGAUAGAGGGGGAUAACUACUGGAAACGGUGGCUAAUACCGCAUACUAUCGGAUAACCCAUAUGGGAUUAGCUAGUAGGUGGGGUAAAGGCUCACCUAGGCGACGAUCUCUAGCUGGUCUGAGAGGAUGAUCAGCCACACCGGGACUUAGACACCGCCCCGACUCCUACGGAGGCAGCAGUGGGGAAUAUUGGACCAUGGGCGGCAGGCUUGUGGCGCCCUGCCGAGGUUUUGAAGAAGGGCUUAAGGUUGUAAAGUACUUUCAGCGGGGAGGCGUUACCCGCAGAAGAAGCACCGGCUAACUCCGUGCCAGCAGCCGCGGUAAUUC
This 403-nucleotide ribosomal RNA is filed under the name uncultured bacterium. Its description in RNAcentral is "partial 16S ribosomal RNA". It matches the Rfam family "Bacterial small subunit ribosomal RNA", at positions 30 to 526 of the family's 1533-position model. The record is from RNAcentral.